CAGCCGCGGUAAUUCCAGCUCCAAUAGCGUAUAUUAAAGUUGUUGCAGUUAAAAAGCUCGUAGUUGAAUUUCGGGGUUAGUAGGUUGGUCAUGCCUCUGGUAUGUACUGGUCUCACUGAUUCCUCCUUCCUGAUGAGCCGUAAUGCCAUUAAUUUGGUGUUGCGGGGAAUUUGGACUGUUACUUUGAAAAAAUUAGAGUGUUUAAAGCAAGCUAACGCUUGAAUACAUUAGCAUGGAAUAAUGAAAUAGGACGUUCGAUCCUAUUUUGUUGGUUUCUAGGAUUGACGUAAUGAUUAAUAGGGAUAGUUGGGGGCAUUAGUAUUCAAUUGUCAGAGGUGAAAUUCUUGGAUUUAUUGAAGACUAACUACUGCGAAAGCAUUUGCCAAGGAUGUUUUCAUUAAUCAAGAACGAAAGUUAGGGGAUCGAAGACGAUCAGAUACCGUCGUAGUCUUAACCAUAAACUAGGCCGACUAGGGAUC
This 479-nucleotide ribosomal RNA is filed under the name uncultured Glomus. RNAcentral's name for it is "SSU rRNA". It matches the Rfam family "Eukaryotic small subunit ribosomal RNA", at positions 571 to 1054 of the family's 1831-position model. Lineage: Eukaryota; Fungi; Glomeromycota; Glomeromycetes; Glomerales; Glomeraceae. The record is from RNAcentral.